Molecule: ribosomal RNA, 434 nt
Filed under: uncultured bacterium
Lineage: Bacteria
Description: partial 16S ribosomal RNA
Rfam family: Bacterial small subunit ribosomal RNA
Source: RNAcentral
AGCGAACGCUGGCGGCAGGCCUAACACAUGCAAGUCGAACGAACCUUUCGGGGUUAGUGGCGGACGGGUGUGUAACACGUGGGAACGUGCCUUUAGGUUCGGCAUAACUCAGGGAAACUUGUGCUAAUACCGAAUGUGUCCUCCGGGGGAAAGAUUUAUCGCCUUUAGAGCGGCCCGCGUCUGGUUAGCUAGUUGGUUGAGGUAAUGGCUCACCAAGGCGACGAUCAGUAGCUGGUCUGAGAGGAUGAUCAGCCACAUUGGGACUGAGACACGGCCCAAACUCCUACGGGAGGCAGCAGUGGGGAAUCUUGCGGAAUGGGCGAAAGCCUGACGCAGCCAUGCCGCGUGAAUGAUGAAGGUCUUAGGAGUGUAAAAUUCUUUAACCGGGGACGAGAAUGACGGUACCCGGAGAAGAAGCCCCGGCUAACUUCGUG